Molecule: long non-coding RNA, 1092 nt
Filed under: Cyanistes caeruleus (blue tit)
Lineage: Eukaryota; Metazoa; Chordata; Aves; Passeriformes; Paridae
Description: lncRNA (ENSCCEG00000002136.1)
Source: RNAcentral
AUGGCAGUGGGAUCACUGGGAAUUACCCUGGGAUCAUCGGGAAUUGCCGUGGGAUCAUCGGGAAUUACCCUGGGGUCGUUGGGAAUGGCAGUGGGAUCACUGGGAAUUACCCUGGGAUCAUUGGGAAUGCCGUGGGAUUGUUGGGAAUUGUUAUGGGAUCAUUGGGAAUGGCAGCAGGAUCCCUGGGAAUUGCAGUGGGAUCCCUGGGAAUUGUCAUGGGAUCAUCGGGAAUUGCCGUGGGAUCCCUGGGAAUUGCUGUGGGAUCGCUGGGAAUGGCAGUGGGAUUGCUGGGAAUUACCCUGGGAUCAUUGGGAAUGGCAGCGGGAUCGCUGGGAAUUGUCGUGGGAUUGUUGGGAAUUGUCCUGGGAUCGUUGGGAAUUGCAGUGGGAUCAUCGGGAAUUGUUAUGGGAUCAUCAGGAAUUGCAGUGGGAUCGUUGGGAAUUGUCAUGGGAUCAUUGGGAAUUGUCAUGGGAUCAUCGGGAAUUGCAGUGGGAUCAUUGGGAAUGCCGUGGGAUCGUUGGGAAUUGCAGUGGGAUCAUCGGGAAUUGUUAUGGGAUCAUCGGGAAUUGCCGUGGGAUCGUUGGGAAUUGCCGUGGGAUCACUGGGAAUUCCCGGCCUCAGGUUGUGAUUUUUGGGAUCUCUUGGCUUUGGGAUUUUUGGGAUUUCCCUGCCCAGGACAGGCUGGGCCGGCUCAGGGCUCCCCAAUUCCUUCUGCUCCCACCUUUGGAGCCAAGAGCAGAAAAGUGGGAAUUUUUCCUGCUGAACUCCUCAGCGCUCCCAGGAUUUCAAACCCCCGGGGUGGGAUUGUGCCAAGCAAUCCAAACCUGGAGAAUUCCUGAAGCCCAUAAAGAACAUUCUGGAGCUCUCACUCAUCCCAACCCCCUCAUCUCCCAAAUCCAACAAUUCCCUGAUCCCAGAAAACUCAAGGCACAGCAGCACCAAAACCCUUUCCCUCCUCUGAUCCCGGAUUUCCGUGAUUCCAGGUGUUUUUUGGGAAGGCAGGAGCGGUGGAGCCUCACACCCCAAACCCCUUUUCCUUGUCUGAUCCCAGAUUUCCAUGAUUCCAGAUGUUUUUUGGGAAGGCAGGAGUAA